GACGAACGCUGGCGGCGUGCCUAAUACAUGCAAGUAGAACGCACAGUUUAAACCGUAGCUUGCUACACCAUAGACUGUGAGUUGCGAACGGGUGAGUAACGCGUAGGUAACCUGCCUGGUAGCGGGGGAUAACUAUUGGAAACGAUAGCUAAUACCGCAUAAUAUUAAUUAUUGCAUGAUAAUUAAUUGAAAGGUGCAAUUGCACCACUACCAGAUGGACCUGCGUUGUAUUAGCUAGUAGGUGAGGUAACGGCUCACCUAGGCGACGAUACAUAGCCGACCUGAGAGGGUGAUCGGCCACACUGGGACUGAGACACGGCCCAGACUCCUACGGGAGGCAGCAGUAGGGAAUCUUCGGCAAUGGACGAAAGUCUGACCGAGCAACGCCGCGUGAGUGAAGAAGGUUUUCGGAUCGUAAAGCUCUGUUGUAAGAGAAGAACGGGUGUGAGAGUGGAAAGUUCACACUGUGACGGUAUCUUACCAGAAAGGGACGGCUAACUACGUG
Molecule: ribosomal RNA, 505 nt
Filed under: uncultured bacterium
Lineage: Bacteria
Description: partial 16S ribosomal RNA
Rfam family: Bacterial small subunit ribosomal RNA
Source: RNAcentral